CAGCAGCCGCGGUAAUACGGAGGGUGCAAGCGUUAAUCGGAAUUACUGGGCGUAAAGCGCACGCAGGCGGUUUGUUAAGUCAGAUGUGAAAUCCCCGAGCUUAACUUGGGAACUGCAUUUGAAACUGGCAAGCUAGAGUCUUGUAGAGGGGGGUAGAAUUCCAGGUGUAGCGGUGAAAUGCGUAGAGAUCUGGAGGAAUACCGGUGGCGAAGGCGGCCCCCUGGACAAAGACUGACGCUCAGGUGCGAAAGCGUGGGGAGCAAACAGGAUUAGAUACCCGUGUAGUCCCUGUCUCUUAUAC
This 301-nucleotide ribosomal RNA is filed under the name uncultured bacterium. RNAcentral's name for it is "partial 16S ribosomal RNA". It matches the Rfam family "Bacterial small subunit ribosomal RNA", at positions 509 to 807 of the family's 1533-position model. The record is from RNAcentral.